UUUUGGACAAUGGGCGCAAGCCUGAUCCAGCAAUGCCGCGUGCAGGAAGAAGGCCUUCGGGUUGUAAACUGCUUUUGUACGGAACGACACGGUCCUGGUUAAUACCUGGGGCUAAUGACGGUACCGUAAGAAUAAGCACCGGCUAACUACGUGCCAGCAGCCGCGGUAAUACGUAGGGUGCAAGCGUUAAUCGGAAUUACUGGGCGUAAAGCGUGCGCAGGCGGUUUUGUAAGACAGGCGUGAAAUCCCCGGGCUUAACCUGGGAAUGGCGCUUGUGACUGCAAAGCUGGAGUGCGGCAGAGGGGGAUGGAAUUCCGCGUGUAGCAGUGAAAUGCGUAGAUAUGCGGAGGAACACCGAUGGCGAAGGCAAUCCCCUGGGCAGUACACUGACGCUCAUGCACGAAG
Molecule: ribosomal RNA, 405 nt
Filed under: uncultured bacterium
Lineage: Bacteria
Description: bacterial SSU rRNA
Rfam family: Bacterial small subunit ribosomal RNA
Source: RNAcentral